RNAcentral lists this ribosomal RNA (248 nucleotides) under uncultured bacterium. Its description in RNAcentral is "partial 16S ribosomal RNA". It matches the Rfam family "Bacterial small subunit ribosomal RNA", at positions 796 to 1041 of the family's 1533-position model. The record is from RNAcentral.
CACGCCCUAAACGAUGAUCACUAGCUUUUCGGAGUAUCGACCCUCUGAGAGGCGAAGCUAACGCGUUAAGUGAUCCGCCUGGGAAGUACGGCCGCAAGGCUAAAACUCAAAAGAAUAGACGGGGACUUGCACAAGCGGUGGAUCAUGUGGUUUAAUUCGAAGCUAAACGAAGAACCUUACCAGGGCUGGAAAUUCAGUUGAAAGAUUUGGGAAACCAAAUCCCUCCUUCAAGACAACUGGACAGGUGA